RNAcentral lists this ribosomal RNA (505 nucleotides) under uncultured Acidobacteriota bacterium. Its description in RNAcentral is "bacterial SSU rRNA". It matches the Rfam family "Bacterial small subunit ribosomal RNA", at positions 8 to 524 of the family's 1533-position model. The record is from RNAcentral. Lineage: Bacteria; Pseudomonadati; Acidobacteriota.
AGAGUUUGAUCGUGGCUCAGAAUCAACGCUGGCGGCGUGCCUCAGACAUGCAAGUCGAACGAUUAAAGCUCCCUUCGGGGAGUGCAUAAAGUGGCGCACGGGUGAGUAACACGUAAGUAAUCUACCUUCGAGUGGGGAAUAACAGUCGGAAACGGCUGCUAAUACCGCAUAAUGCAGCGGCAUCGCAAGAUGACAGUUGUUAAAGAUUUAUCGCUUGAAGGGGAGCUUGCGGCAGAUUAGCUAGUUGGUAAGGUAAUGGCUUACCAAGGCUACGAUCUGUAACCGGUCUAAGAGGACGGUCGGUCACACUGACACUGAAUAACGGGUCAGACUCCUACGGGAGGCAGCAGUCGGGAAUUUUGGGCAAUGGGGGAAACCCUGACCCAGCAACGCCGCGUGAAGGAUGAAGUAUUUCGGUAUGUAAACUUCGAAAGAAUAGGAAGAAUUAAUGACGGUACUAUUUAUAAGGUCCGGCUAACUACGUGCCAGCAGCCGCCGCGGUAAU